This 446-nucleotide ribosomal RNA is filed under the name uncultured eukaryote. RNAcentral describes it as "SSU rRNA". It matches the Rfam family "Eukaryotic small subunit ribosomal RNA", at positions 190 to 666 of the family's 1831-position model. The record is from RNAcentral.
AGGCCGUAAGGCUGCAUUUAUUAGAUAAACCAAGAAGGUGAAUCAUAAUAACUUUGCAAAUCGAAACUACGUUUCGAUACAUCAUUCAAGUUUCUGACCUAUCAUGCUCUCGAUGGUAGUGUAUUGGACUACCAUGGCAGUCACGGGUAACGGAGAAUUAGGGUUCGAUUCCGGAGAAGGAGCCUGAGAAACGGCUACUACAUCUAAGGAAGGCAGCAGGCGCGUAAAUUACCCAAUCCUAAAUCAGGGAGGUAGUGACAAGAUAUAACAACGCGAUUAAAUGUCGCGAUUGUAGUGAGGGUAUUCUAAAAAUAGCUUCGAGUACGAUUGGAGGGCAAGUCUGGUGCCAGCAGCCGCGGUAAUUCCAGCUCCAAUAGCGUAUAUUAAAGUUGCUGCAGUUAAAAAGCUCGUAGUUGAACUUCAUGAGCAGUAGGUAGCUUACUACC